CCUACGGGUGGCAGCAGUGAGGAAUAUUGGUCAAUGGGCGGGAGCCUGAACCAGCCAAGCCGCGUGAGGGAAGAAGGUACAGCGUAUCGUAAACCUCUUUUGUCAGGGAACAAAGGCGGGGACUAGUCCCCGGAUGAGGGUACCUGAAGAAAAAGCAUCGGCUAACUCGGUGCCAGCAGCCGCGGUAAUACGGAGGAGGCGACGGUUAUCCGGAUUUAUUGUGUUUAAAGGGUGGGCAGGCGGCCUGUUAAGGCAGCGGUAAAAGCCCGGGGCUAAACCCCGGCGAGCCGUUGAAACUGGCAGGCUGGAGUUGGGGAGAGGUACGCGGAAUGCGCGGUGUAGCGGUGAAAUGCUUAGAGAUCGCGCAGAACCCCGAUUGCGAAGGCAGCGUACCGGCUCCACACUGACGCUGAGGCACGAAAGCGUGGGUAUCGAACAGGAUUAGAUACCCUAGUAGUC
RNAcentral lists this ribosomal RNA (459 nucleotides) under uncultured bacterium. RNAcentral's name for it is "partial 16S ribosomal RNA". It matches the Rfam family "Bacterial small subunit ribosomal RNA", at positions 338 to 795 of the family's 1533-position model. The record is from RNAcentral.